Long non-coding RNA from Hyla sarda, 1470 nucleotides. RefSeq lists it as uncharacterized. Lineage: Eukaryota; Metazoa; Chordata; Amphibia; Anura; Hylidae. The transcript has 4 exons. The record is from RefSeq and is a predicted model, not a curated record.
CCGCGGCAUCUGUCAAUCACUGCCGUGCUGUAUAGAGACUGUAUUACUGAGACUGUUGCUGUUAAUUGGAUGUACCGCAAGUACCUCAGUAAAGUUUAUACAAGUCCAAGUUCAUCUCCAUUGUGGACCUUCAUUCAUUUAAGCGCGCACCUAUCGUUCCUGGGAAGGGUGGCGAUAGGCCGGAGAUUUACCUCAGCGAAUUAACCCUCACCCUGGCGUCACGAGUGACAGGGGUUAAGUUAACCCCUCAUAUACCGAAGCAACACCCCAACUACACUACACCCCCCAAGGCUGCUACCACAGAUGUAUAUAAAUUGUAUAUUUUUUAUUAUGUGUAUAGUACUUCCAGGACCUUAGGUCACAUGACUAAUAAGUCUAAUGUUAGGUUAAGCUUAAGGACCUUCCAGGUCACAUGAUGUAGUCACAUGAUGUACCAUAAUGCUUUGUGAAAGGACUGACAGCUGGUGGGAACCAAUGAGCUCUAAGCCUGCCCCUCUCCAUAUAAGGGGGCUGUUAACCAAUCCUCGCUCUCUUGGUUCCUGUACUGCAAAGCAGUAACAUCUCUCAUGGGUUCCGGACUAGCAGAGAGAGAGGAGAUCCGUGCAAACCUACAAGACCAAACUAGGCCUGAAGCCUACCAAUUCAGCAGCUUACUAAACGAUCCCACAUCCAUACCCCGGAUGAUCCAAUGGGAGGAGGCACUGCCCCUAGUGGAAGCUCAGGAUCGGCCUGCCCACAAAGAGGUCUAAAGGGCUUCUUUCUUCCUCCUUCCUUCUAAACUCAAUCAGUCAUGCAGCAAGAAUUGAUGAAAUCCUUCUCAGGACGGACUAGUUCACUGAAGGAUCGGGUUACAGCUGCACAUAGAAGUCUAUGAAGAUUGGAGAGGGAAAGAGGAGGAAGCAGCUGCAGAGAGAGGAGACAGAGAUAGAGAGCGAGAGAGAGAUAGAAGCUGCUGAAAGCUCUAGUUUUCGUUUUUUUCACAUUCUUUUUCCCAAGAUGACAUCAUUAUCAGUAAAUUUACCACAUGAAUUCAAUAUGAUCUCACUGGAAUCUACACUUUCCUAUUGAUUUCCCGCUCGGUCCAGUCACCGCCAUCUCCCAUCCUGAAGUGACCGUCAGCAGCCGCGUCUGAAAUCAAUGGAGGUGUCUGCACUCGGUCCCAGUCCUCUCCAUAGAAGUGAUGGGAUGGCUGGUGCCGGCCCGGUCCCAUGACCAGAUGGAUCUCACCUCUUAAACAACGUACAAUCCAAUAAGUGAGUUAAGUGGUGACAGCCCCGGUCUGGAGGUUUAUUAUGGCGGAUGAGGUUGUACGAGGCGGCGAGAUGAAGUCUACAAAGUAUUGAUCAGUGACUGUGAGGGCGUCCGGGCCGCGCCAUAAACUUUAUAUAACAUGGGGAUCAAUAUGUCCUAUAAACCUGUCACCAAUACGUGUUCAUUAUAGGGGAUACUAGGAGAUAGAUAUGAGAUAGA